CUGCAGCUGCCUUAUGGUUUGUGCUAGGAGGAGAUAUGGAUAGGAGCUAAAAGAGAGGGGUUUUUAAAAGCAAACGAAGCAAAACACUUUAUCAGGUAAAGAAAAGGCAUCCACAUUUGCCUUGCUUCCAGCAGCCAGUUGUCCCUUGUUUCUAAUGAAUGUGUCACACAAAGAAAAGACACAAUCACAGCCAACACUUGCUUCUGCAAACUGGCAAUGUCUGCAGCUAAAUUCGAAUUAAAAAAAAAAGUUAGAAGAGUAUUGAGAAAAGUAAAGAAAAAAGAAAUUGCAUUUAGAUUUCGGCUAAUUUUGUUUUUGCAUUUUUAGUAGAGAUGGGGUUUCACCGUGUUAGCCAGGAUGGUCUCAAUCUCCUGACCUCGUGAUCCACCUGCCAUUUUGAUGUUGAAAUAUUAAAUGGGGACAGUCUUUCACUAAAUGCUUCGAAGUUAUGGCCCUUAUUUUUAUUGCAUUAACUGGCUCUGGAGCAUACAAUUUUGAACUUGGUUGUUUUCUCUGCUGUUUCUCACCAUCCCGAGUCCCACCGGCUAGGGAGCUGGAAUUCCUGGUGUUCUCACACCACUGUGUACAGUUGUGCAGUGCACAACCUCCAUGGCAGUUCUACAUUAACUAAGAUUUGGAGAGGAGGUUAGAGAGGAAAUAAAUGCUAUCAUUCUAUCAACACCUACAAACUGUUAUAAUAGAUCCGUAUUGGAUCCCCAAACAAACCCAAUCCUGGGUUGCAGAAUCUGUACUUUGCCUUACAUAUUGGACCAGAGUGUAACUGUGUAAUAGAAGGUUUACGGUAGUGACCACAUAUUUUUCCUUGCAAUAUUCUGUUCAUUCGUGUGUAUGUUGUAAGGAUCACUGAGUCUUUCUAACUCAAAUUUAAAGCAUUAUGUGUGAAUGUAGUUGGGAUGUAGGGUAAAGUGAGCUAAUGAUUGAAAUAACCCAGCCUGUUCCUUUUACCAAAUUUGGGGCAAGAGUAAAGUGGAGACUCCUAGACCUUGCCUUCUGUGGCAAGGAAGACUCUUU
RNAcentral lists this long non-coding RNA (1032 nucleotides) under Pan troglodytes (chimpanzee). RNAcentral's name for it is "long non-coding RNA NONPTRT007227". The record is from RNAcentral. Lineage: Eukaryota; Metazoa; Chordata; Mammalia; Primates; Hominidae.